AUCUAACUGACGAGUCCCAAAUAGGACGAAACGCACGUCGUGGAU
RNAcentral lists this non-coding RNA (45 nucleotides) under Schistosoma curassoni. The record is from RNAcentral. Lineage: Eukaryota; Metazoa; Platyhelminthes; Trematoda; Strigeidida; Schistosomatidae.